UCAGCCGACACAUGCAUUGUCUGCCUUCCCCUUCUCGAUCUCUCUCACUCUACAAUUCACCACCAAAUAGUUCCAAAUUCCCCAUGACAAAUCUUCAGAUCUAACGCUCAACACACACAUCUACAAAGAAGAAACUCACCUUCACUUCAUCAUCUACACAAAUUACAUAACCACACCAACAACAACAACCUGCAACCUUUGUUCUCUCUCACCAGUGGUUAAUCGGCAAGCCGACAGCCCCCCCCCCCUGUUACACGCUGAAGAACGACGACGACCACCACCACCGUCUGGUGGUGGUGCGACAACAGAACCAAGAGAGGAGGGUGGCGGCGAGGACUGAGAGGCGGAGAGACACGACGGAGAAGGAGAAAGGAAAACGACAGGGGUGCCGUCGCAAGCGGCGGCGACAGCGGCGGUCUACGUCGGAUCGACGGCCAGAAGCGCCGAUGAUGGCGGUUGUGGUGAUUCAGGUCCUCGAUUCAACAUGUUUGACUCCGAUUUGUUUCUUUUGUUCGGGUUAACUUUGGGUUCGAAUCAGUUCGGUUCAACAAGGGAUUCGGGUCAGUUCAGGACUCUGACGGGUGUUGGCGACAGUGGUACCGGUAGCAGUGGUGGUGAUGUUUGGCUCGAGUAUUGGUACGUCUGACAUUCAGUUCAAGUUUCGGGUUGGGUUCGGUUCAAGUCUGGGUGUUCCGGUUCACUUGAAUCAGUCCCGAAUUUCGGUGCUCGGGUUAGUCACGUCUCGAUUUAGUUCAGUUUGGGUGUGUUUCGGGCCAGAUUUGGCUCAGAUCUUGGCUUGGUUCAACAGUUUCGGUUCAUCUCAGAUUUGGUUCAAGAUUCGGUCUACUCGGUCGUGUUCGAGUCAACGCAGCUGCGGUUCGGGUCAUACCCGGUUGACUCAGUCAAACCCGAGUCAACUCGGGUCAACAGCGGUCAAACAAGUCAACUGUCGGGCAAGUCAACGCUGGUCAACUGGUCAUAGUCAGUUAAGACCCGGAAUGUCACAGUUAUACGCUAGCUAAUUCACGUUCUUGGAACAACACUACGGAAAUCUCGCUAGGCUGGCUUUGCACAGGAAUGUCAAGGUGGAUUUUUUUUUAAAACUAUGGAAUGGUUGGUGUUGGGAUUGAACCCUACCAGAGGAACAGAUAAUGAAAGCCAAGACCGGAUCACAACAGUGGACUCAUAAUAAACAGCUGCUUACACUUGGUUUUCCCCUUGACAGUGGUAUUCUAACAGCUGAUGGAUCUUAAGUACUGCUCACUAUAACGACUGAUGAACCAAACACUGAUGAGAUUCUAAAGACUGCUGAAGACAAACACGGUUGCUCUAUCUACUGCUGUUUCAUAAGUACUGCUGAAGACACAAGUACUGCCCGUUCAAAGACUGAUCACCUUUGAAGAAAGCACUGAAGCUCAACAUCAGUGCUCAGGCUACAAUAGUGGAACAGUUGUUGUCUCUUGUUUUGUAUUGUACUUAUAAUCAGAUGUUACACAUCAGUAGUUUGUUUAGAACAGUGUUUAUAGGUUGUUAGUUUGUUAGAUGUCACUAUCAUGGUGACGUCAGCUGAGAUGCUUCAGUGGUUUGGUUUGCCUAUAAAUGGAGCAGUACCCUGUACUGUUACAUUUGAUUGACUGAGAGGAUUCUUCUUCUUUAGUCCAAUCCUUUCAUCUUGUGCAACCAACCUUGAAGUAUCAGGCUGAGGGGGAGUUUAGAUAUGUAAGCAUGCUUGUUAAUCUUUUGAUUUUCAUUGUAAUCAUUCAACUUAAUGAGAAAGCAUGUGUUUAUCAAAC
Long non-coding RNA from Helianthus annuus (common sunflower), 1793 nucleotides. RefSeq lists it as uncharacterized. NCBI's taxonomy places the organism in Eukaryota, Viridiplantae, Streptophyta, Magnoliopsida, Asterales, Asteraceae. The transcript has 3 exons. The record is from RefSeq and is a predicted model, not a curated record.